This 667-nucleotide ribosomal RNA is filed under the name Salmonella enterica. RNAcentral's name for it is "partial 23S ribosomal RNA". It matches the Rfam family "Bacterial large subunit ribosomal RNA", at positions 590 to 1256 of the family's 2925-position model. Lineage: Bacteria; Pseudomonadati; Pseudomonadota; Gammaproteobacteria; Enterobacterales; Enterobacteriaceae. The record is from RNAcentral.
UGUGUGACUGCGUACCUUUUGUAUAAUGGGUCAGCGACUUAUAUUCUGUAGCAAGGUUAACCGAAUAGGGGAGCCGGAGGGAAACCGAGUCUUAAUUGGGCGUUAAGUUGCAGGGUAUAGACCCGAAACCCGGUGAUCUAGCCAUGGGCAGGUUGAAGGUUGGGUAACACUAACUGGAGGACCGAACCGACUAAUGUUGAAAAAUUAGCGGAUGACCUGUGGCUGGGGGUGAAAGGCCAAUCAAACCGGGAGAUAGCUGGUUCUCCCCGAAAGCUAUUUAGGUAGCGCCUCGUGAAUUCAUCUCCGGGGGUAGAGCACUGUUUCGGCUAGGGGGCCAUCCCGGCUUACCAACCCGAUGCAAACUGCGAAUACCGGAGAAUGUUAUCACGGGAGACACACGGCGGGUGCUAACGUCCGUCGUGAAGAGGGAAACAACCCAGACCGCCAGCUAAGGUCCCAAAGUCAUGGUUAAGUGGGAAACGAUGUGGGAAGGCCCAGACAGCCAGGAUGUUGGCUUAGAAGCAGCCAUCAUUUAAAGAAAGCGUAAUAGCUCACUGGUCGAGUCGGCCUGCGCGGAAGAUGUAACGGGGCUAAACCAUGCACCGAAGCUGCGGCAGCGACACUCAGGUGUUGUUGGGUAGGGGAGCGUUCUGUAAGCCUGCGAAGG